RNAcentral lists this non-coding RNA (77 nucleotides) under uncultured Prevotella sp. RNAcentral's name for it is "TPP riboswitch (THI element)". It matches the Rfam family "TPP riboswitch aptamer (THI element)", at positions 9 to 90 of the family's 105-position model. Rfam says of the family: Vitamin B(1) in its active form thiamin pyrophosphate (TPP) is an essential coenzyme that is synthesised by coupling of pyrimidine and thiazole moieties in bacteria. The previously detected thiamin-regulatory element, thi box was extended, resulting in a new, highly conserved RNA secondary structure, the THI element, which is widely distributed in eubacteria and also occurs in some archaea. Analysis of operon structures identified a large number of new candidate thiamin-regulated genes, mostly transporters, in various prokaryotic organisms. The record is from RNAcentral. Lineage: Bacteria; Pseudomonadati; Bacteroidota; Bacteroidia; Bacteroidales; Prevotellaceae.
CUAAGGGGUGCCCGAUGUUUCGGGCUGAGAUCAUACCCUCAUACCUGACCCGGAUAAUGCCGGCGUAGGGAUACUUA